GGAUGUGAGGGCGAUCUGGUUGCGACAUCUGUCACCCCAUUGAUCGCCAGGGUUGAUUUGGCUGAUCUGGCUGGCUAGGCAGGUGUCCCCUUUCUCCCUCACCACUACAUGUGCCUCCCUCCAGAAGCUGUGCGCUCGGCCUUCCCCAAAUAGAGACGUACUGGACCGCUCUUCGGUCCAGGGUAUAAGAGUAGCUGCGCUCCCCUGCUAGAACCUCCAAAUAAGCUCUCAGAAAAGAUAAUAUUGGGACAAGGUGAUGGCAUACUUGGUUAAGUGCACGUAUUACCAU
RNAcentral lists this small nuclear RNA (289 nucleotides) under Erinaceus europaeus (western European hedgehog). RNAcentral describes it as "7SK RNA". It matches the Rfam family "7SK RNA". From Rfam's summary of the family: 7SK was discovered as an abundant small nuclear RNA in the mid-70s but a possible function has only recently been suggested. Two independent studies have found that 7SK RNA binds the CDK9/cyclin T complex (known as elongation factor P-TEFb). P-TEFb activates transcription by phosphorylating the C-terminal domain of RNA polymerase II. The record is from Rfam by way of RNAcentral. Lineage: Eukaryota; Metazoa; Chordata; Mammalia; Eulipotyphla; Erinaceidae.